CGGUUGCUUGUGUGCGUGUGGCUAGUCCGGUGAAAAUUUUUCACCAGUUCGUUGUCAUAUUUGCUUUCAUUUCUUCGAAAAGCAUUUCGGAACUUCCUGGGCUGCCGGACAUUAAUUGACUCGAGCAUGCUGUUGCAAAAUAUCCUCAGAAUUCUAGAAACAAUGAUUCCACCAACUUUCGGAACGGAUGUGAAUUCCACCGAUUCAGGGCCUAAACACCGCCGAUGAGGUUCAUAGUGAUUGGUUGCUAGAGCCGAUUGGUAAGGCGGUGGAAGAUGACUUCAACAGAGCGGAAUCGACAGACUUGGGAGACAUAAAGGAAGAAGGCAGGUUUUGGGGUUUCUGCAGAAGUUCAAUGUGGAACAUCCCGAUUAUGAACAUACCAGCGUGAGUGAGAUCAUUACUGAAAUACGAAGUACAAGUUAAAGGCACUAAAAAAUGUGCAUAAAUAAAAAAAUAAAAAUUACAAUACAA
Molecule: long non-coding RNA, 474 nt
Organism: Aedes aegypti (yellow fever mosquito)
Lineage: Eukaryota; Metazoa; Arthropoda; Insecta; Diptera; Culicidae
Exons: 3
Source: RefSeq, a predicted model, not a curated record